AGAGUUUGAUCAUGGCUCAGAAUCAACGCUGGCGGCGCGCUAACACAUGCAAGUCGAACGAGAAAGGGGAGCAAUCCUGAGUAAAGUGGCGACCGGGUGAGUAACACGUGACUACCUACCCUUGAGUGGGGGAUAACCUCGGGAAACCGAGGCUAAUACCGCAUAAUAUCGAAAGAUCAAAGGAGUAAUCCGCUUUUGGAGGGGGGUCGCGGCUGAUUAGCUAGUUGGUAAGGUAAUGGCUUACCAAGGCGAAGAUCGGUAUCCGGCCUGAGAGGGCGCACGGACACACUGGAUCUGAAACACGGUCCAGACUCCUACGGGAGGCAGCAGUGGGGAAUUUUGCGCAAUGGGGGAAACCCUGACGCAGCAACGCCGCGUGGAGGAUGAAGCCCCUUGGGGCGUAAACUCCUUUCGACUGGGAAGAUUAUGACGGUACCAGUGGAAGAAGCACCGGCUAACUCUGUGCCAGCAGCCGCGGUAAUACAGAGGGUGCGAGCGUUGUUCGGAAUUAUUGGGCGUAAAGGGCGCGUAGGCGGUAUUGUAAGUCACCUGUGAAACCUCUAGGCUUAACCUAGAGCCUGCAGGCGAAACUGCAAUGCUGGAGGGUGGGAGAGGUGCGUGGAAUUCCCGG
This 631-nucleotide ribosomal RNA is filed under the name uncultured bacterium. Its description in RNAcentral is "bacterial SSU rRNA". It matches the Rfam family "Bacterial small subunit ribosomal RNA", at positions 8 to 673 of the family's 1533-position model. The record is from RNAcentral.